CGGGGGAAGGUAGCUUGCUACCGGACCUAGCGGCGGACGGGUGAGUAAUGCUUAGGAAUCUGCCUAUUAGUGGGGGACAACAUCUCGAAAGGGAUGCUAAUACCGCAUACGUCCUACGGGAGAAAGCAGGGGAUCUUCGGACCUUGCGCUAAUAGAUGAGCCUAAGUCGGAUUAGCUAGUUGGUGGGGUAAAGGCCUACCAAGGCGACGAUCUGUAGCGGGUCUGAGAGGAUGAUCCGCCACACUGGGACUGAGACACGGCCCAGACUCCUACGGGAGGCAGCAGUGGGGAAUAUUGGACAAUGGGGGGAACCCUGAUCCAGCCAUGCCGCGUGUGUGAAGAAGGCCUUAUGGUUGUAAAGCACUUUAAGCGAGGAGGAGGCUACUCUAGUUAAUACCUAGAGAUAGUGGACGUUACUCGCAGAAUAAGCACCGGCUAACUCUGUGCCAGC
RNAcentral lists this ribosomal RNA (451 nucleotides) under Acinetobacter baumannii. RNAcentral describes it as "bacterial SSU rRNA". It matches the Rfam family "Bacterial small subunit ribosomal RNA", at positions 67 to 512 of the family's 1533-position model. The record is from RNAcentral. Lineage: Bacteria; Pseudomonadati; Pseudomonadota; Gammaproteobacteria; Moraxellales; Moraxellaceae.